GACGAACGCUGGCGGCGUGCUUAACACAUGCAAGUCGAACGGAAAGGCCCUGCUUUUGUGGGGUGCUCGAGUGGCGAACGGGUGAGUAACACGUGAGUAACCUGCCCUUUACUUUGGGAUAACUUCAGGAAACUGGUGCUAAUACCGGAUAGGAGCUCCUGCUGCAUGGUGGGGGUUGGAAAGUUUCGGCGGUUGGGGAUGGACUCGCGGCUUAUCAGCUUGUUGGUGGGGUAGUGGCUUACCAAGGCUUUGACGGGUAGCCGGCCUGAGCGGGUGACCGGCCACAAUGGGACUGAGAGACGGCGCAGACUCCUACGGGAGGCAGCAGGGGGAAAUAUUGCACAAUGGGCGGAAGCCUGAUGCAGCAACGCCGCGGGCGGGAUGACGGCCUUCGGGGUGUAAACCGCUUUCGCCUGUGACGAAGCGUGAGUGACGGUAAUGGGUAAAGAAGCACCGGCUAACUACGUG
This 468-nucleotide ribosomal RNA is filed under the name uncultured bacterium. Its description in RNAcentral is "partial 16S ribosomal RNA". It matches the Rfam family "Bacterial small subunit ribosomal RNA", at positions 28 to 507 of the family's 1533-position model. The record is from RNAcentral.